UACGGAGGAUGCGAGCGUUAUCCGGAUUUAUUGGGUUUAAAGGGUGCGCAGGCGGCGUGUCAAGUCGGCGGUAAAAUGUCGGGGCUCAACCCCGGCCGGCCGUUGAAACUGGCGUGCUCGAGUUGGAGAGAAGUAUGCGGAAUUCGUGGUGUAGCGGUGAAAUGCAUAGAUAUCACGAAGAACCCCGAUUGCGAAGGCAGCAUACCGGCUCCACACUGACGCUGAGGCACGAAAGCGUGGGUAUCGAACAGG
RNAcentral lists this ribosomal RNA (252 nucleotides) under uncultured bacterium. RNAcentral's name for it is "partial 16S ribosomal RNA". It matches the Rfam family "Bacterial small subunit ribosomal RNA", at positions 524 to 776 of the family's 1533-position model. The record is from RNAcentral.